GUGUACGCCUGUUACGUUGUCAGUGUCUUUACAGAAGAAGAAGACAGUUUUGAUUUCAUUGGUGGAUUUGACCCAUUCCCUCUCUACCAUGUUAAUGAAAAGCCUUCCAAUCUUUUGUUCAAGCAGACGUAUCUGCCUGCGUAAGUGACAAGGAUCCAGCGACCGGAGAGGUGGGAAGCAUCCAUCCCACAACUGAAAUGCCAAAUGUUCAGCUGGGUGCUGGAGGCAGCCAGGGAAUGGGAGAUGCCUUCCACUUGAAAGAGCACGCCUCCAUGAGAUCACUAUCCUCUACUUGGUGCUUCAGGCUUGCUGGCAUCUGCUCAGACAAUGCCUCAUUAGUGGAUUUUGUAGGUUUUUGUUAUGAAUGAAUAUUUCCUUCUUUCUCCUCCCUGCCCAGGCCCUAUUCUUUACUCUAUUGGGACUAUGAAGAGAGCAUUUGGGAAAUACAUAUUUGACUCUUUUCUUCUGUACGAAAACGAACUGCCUCGCCUCUGGAUAUUUCGAGGCAUAAACUUGGUUAUUAUCAGUGGACUAAUUCUCACUCCCCUUCAAUCCCCGUCUACCCUGAACAACCUCAACUUUGUCGUUUCUAUUAAUGGACAAGCUGUUAAUUAAAAUUAUCUGUA
RNA transcript from Protobothrops mucrosquamatus (brown spotted pit viper), 626 nucleotides. It is a transcript of the gene named sodium/potassium transporting ATPase interacting 4, with no coding region annotated. The transcript is spliced from 3 exons. The record is from RefSeq and is a predicted model, not a curated record. NCBI's taxonomy places the organism in Eukaryota, Metazoa, Chordata, Lepidosauria, Squamata, Viperidae.